AAUGAACGUUGGCGGCGUGGAUUAGGCAUGCAAGUCGCGCGACAAGGAACCUUCGGGUUCUGGAGGAGCGGCAAACGGGGUAGUAAGGCAUCGGAACGUACCCUCUUGUUGGGAAUAGCCGCGGGAAACUGCGAGUAAUGCCCAAUAAUCCCUACGGGGCAAAGGUCCGCCGCAGGAGGAGCGGCCGAUGUGAUACCAGCUAGUUGGUGAGGUAAUGGCUCACCAAGGCUUAGACGUCUAGGGGGUGUGAGAGCAUGGCCCCCCACCACUGGGACGUGAGAUACUGCCCACGACACCUACGGGUGGCUGCAGUCGAGAAUCUUCGGCAAUGGGCGGCAAGCCUGACCGAGCAACGCCGCGUGCGGGAGUGAAGGCCCUUCGGGUUGGUAAACCGACUGUCGA
RNAcentral lists this ribosomal RNA (402 nucleotides) under uncultured bacterium. Its description in RNAcentral is "bacterial SSU rRNA". It matches the Rfam family "Bacterial small subunit ribosomal RNA", at positions 29 to 439 of the family's 1533-position model. The record is from RNAcentral.